This 639-nucleotide long non-coding RNA is filed under the name Taeniopygia guttata (zebra finch). RNAcentral describes it as "lncRNA (ENSTGUG00000029034.1)". Lineage: Eukaryota; Metazoa; Chordata; Aves; Passeriformes; Estrildidae. The record is from RNAcentral.
GUCAGAGCGUACUCUCCCAUCUUCAAAACCAAGACCAGUGCUGCCCUGCUGGAUAUGCUUGUGCAGGAGGGUCCUUCCAGCCCAAAGCAAGUGAGCAGCCUGUGGCCUGGCUUUUCUCCUCCCAGCAGUUGCGUGGCCUCCCAAGCCACGCCUGCUGCUCCCUGGAAGCCUUUGAGGCCAUGGCAGUGUGUUGGCAAGGGAAGCACUUCUCUGGGGCAGCUGGGCACAUUCCUUCCUCUGGCAGCUUUCCAAGUCUCCCCUGCCUUCUCCAGGUGCCUGCCAUGGUGAGGUACAUCCACCAGUGGCUGGUGGCCAAUGAGUUUCCUGAGUACAAUCUGUACAGGCCCCUUCUGGAUCUGACAGAGGCACAGCCCUCUGACGUGGUGAUGGCUCUCCUGCGUGUGGCCCCAGUGUGUGACAGAGCUGCUUUGGCCAUGUGGAAGAGCAUCAUGUGCUCGCCCAGGACUGCAGAGCCGGCCAUGCUCGCACUCCUCGAGGUGCUGGGGAGCUGGCCAGAGCACAGCACGUGCACCUCCGAUGGGGACCACACGGCUGUCCUUGCCCUGGCUGUGAGUUUCUGCCUUUGCUGGCCCCAAGGCCACCCCUCCAGCAGCUCUCCAUCCUCCCUCCCCCACGGCG